UCCCUGGUGGCUCAGAGGUUAAAGCAUCUGCCUGCAAUGUGGGAGACCUGGGUUCGAUCCCUGGGUGGGGAA
RNAcentral lists this transfer RNA (72 nucleotides) under Odocoileus virginianus texanus. It matches the Rfam family "tRNA". From Rfam's summary of the family: Transfer RNA (tRNA) molecules are approximately 80 nucleotides in length. Their secondary structure includes four short double-helical elements and three loops (D, anti-codon, and T loops). The record is from Rfam by way of RNAcentral. RNAcentral also lists the same sequence under 6 other names. Lineage: Eukaryota; Metazoa; Chordata; Mammalia; Artiodactyla; Cervidae.